GUCGAGAAUAAUUCACAAUGGGGGAAACCCUGAUGGUGCAACGCCGCGUGGAGGAUGAAGGUCUUCGGAUUGUAAACUCCUGUCAUCCGAGAGUAAGACCUGGCGGUGAAUAGCCGACAGGGUUGAUAGUAUCGGAAGAGGAAGGGACGGCUAACUUCGUGCCAGCAGCCGCGGUAAUACGAAGGUCCCAAGCGUUGUUCGGAAUCACUGGGCGUAAAGGGAGCGUAGGCGGCAUGGUAAGUCAGGUGUGAAAUCCCGGGGCUCAACCCCGGAACUGCCCCCGAUACUGGCAUGCUAGAGGGUUGGAGAGGUGACUGGAAUUCUCGGUGUAGCAGUGAAAUGCGUGGAUAUCGAGAGGAACACUCGUGGCGAAGGCGAGUCACUGGACAGUUACUGACACUGAGGCACGAAGGCCAGGGGAGCGAACGGGAUUAGAAACCCUUGUAGUCC
This 450-nucleotide ribosomal RNA is filed under the name uncultured bacterium. Its description in RNAcentral is "partial 16S ribosomal RNA". It matches the Rfam family "Bacterial small subunit ribosomal RNA", at positions 354 to 796 of the family's 1533-position model. The record is from RNAcentral.